GACGAACGCUGGCGGUAUGCUUAGCACAUGCAAGUCGAACGAGACAAGAUGGAAGUGCUUGCACGGAAACCUUAGAAAGUGGCGAACGGGUGAGUAACGCGUGGGUAACCUGCCCUAUGGAAAGGAAUAGCCUCGGGAAACUGGGAGUAAUGCCUUAUAAGAUAUAUUUGUCGCAUGGCAGAUGUAUUAAACGCUCCGGUGCCAUAGGAUGGACCCGCGUCCCAUUAGCUAGUUGGUGAGAUAACAGCCCACCAAGGCGACGAUGGGUAACCGGUCUGAGAGGGCGAACGGUCACUCUGGAACUGAGACACGGUCCAGACUCCUACGGGAGGCAGUAGUGGGGAAUAUUGCGCAAUGGGGGAAACCCUGACGCAGCAAUACCGCGUGAGUGAAGAAGGUUUUCGGAUCGUAAAGCUCUGUUAUUGGGGAAGAAAAAAAGACGGUACCCAAGAAGAAAGUCCCGGCUAACUACGUGCCAGCCGCCGCGGUAA
Molecule: ribosomal RNA, 491 nt
Filed under: uncultured bacterium
Lineage: Bacteria
Description: partial 16S ribosomal RNA
Rfam family: Bacterial small subunit ribosomal RNA
Source: RNAcentral